AGGUGACAUGAAGCAGAAACAAGGAAGGAAAUCUCAUAUGAAAUGGGUAUUUUAUGUUGGAGUUCUUUCAACUUUAUUUUGCUAAUUCAGUGAGAGUAGUUGUCAAAGAUGGCAUCAAAGUUUAGCAAAUCUAUGCUUGAUGGGGUUGAAAUUACGAUUUGUUCAGUGAUAGGACUUUUGGUUAAAUCCCAAGCAGGGAAUGCAUUCUUUGCCAUAGUUCCCGAACAGGUCCUCUUGGCUUCCCUUGAUGCUAUCAAGGUAAAACCCCUGCAAAGGACAAGAAAGAACAUAAGCCACCUCUAUAGCAAAGCCAUCAAGAGAAAGAUCCCCUUCCAACAGACAUCAAGGCAGAAAAUCCCCAUCCACCACCCAGUAGCAUAUAUAUAAAGACCUGUCCAAACUCUUUUGAACAAUGAACAUCUUAAAACUGCUGAUAUUUUGAUGUUGUUUUGAUGUUUUGAUUGCUGCUUGGUUUAUUAGAAUAUGGUCAAUAUUUUAACAUGACAAGCAUCAUAUAAAACAUGUUAUUAGUCU
Molecule: long non-coding RNA, 534 nt
Organism: Prunus avium (sweet cherry)
Lineage: Eukaryota; Viridiplantae; Streptophyta; Magnoliopsida; Rosales; Rosaceae
Source: RefSeq, a predicted model, not a curated record